AUUGAACGCUGGCGGAAUGCUUUACACAUGCAAGUCGAACGAUGAGACCUAGCUUGCUAGGUUGACUAGUGGCGAACGGGUGAGUAAUGUAUCGGAACGUAUCCAAUAAUGGGGGAUAACUAAUCGAAAGGUUGGCUAAUACCGCAUACGCCCUACGGGGGAAAGCAGGGGAUCUUCGGACCUUGCGUUAAUGGAGCGGCCGAUAUCUGAUUAGCUAGUUGGUGAGGUAAAAGCUCACCAAGGCGACGAUCAGUAGCUGGUCUGAGAGGACGACCAGCCACACUGGAACUGAGACACGGUCCAGACUCCUACGGGAAGCAGCAGUGGGGAAUUUUGGACAAUGGGCGAAAGCCUGAUCCAGCCAUUCCGCGUGAGUGAAGAAGGCCUUCGGGUUGUAAAGCUCUUUCGCAAGGGAAGAAACGAUGCAGUCGAAUAAACUGUGUUAAUGACGGUACCUUGAUAAGAAGCACCGGCUAACUACGUGCCAGCCGCCGCGGUAA
This 500-nucleotide ribosomal RNA is filed under the name uncultured bacterium. RNAcentral's name for it is "partial 16S ribosomal RNA". It matches the Rfam family "Bacterial small subunit ribosomal RNA", at positions 30 to 523 of the family's 1533-position model. The record is from RNAcentral.